Molecule: long non-coding RNA, 859 nt
Organism: Carassius carassius (crucian carp)
Lineage: Eukaryota; Metazoa; Chordata; Actinopteri; Cypriniformes; Cyprinidae
Exons: 3
Source: RefSeq, a predicted model, not a curated record
CCCUCAUUGUGGUCGCUCUGGUAAGUGUAGUUAUAUGUGUAUCAAUUCACGAUAUGAUUUAAAUGAAGUUUAUUCACAAUAUGCGCUUUUGUACAACAUAGGUGGCUGCAAGUUAGUCAGUUAAAUUUUCCCGCCUGGUCUUAUUGUUGCCUCAGGUCAGACGUCGCCUAUAUUUUCUGCCUGACAGUGUAAGUUAAUCUCUCCGGUAGGUGUUGUUCUCUAUGUAAUAUUUACCAUAAGAGUUGAAAUAUGUUUGUUCAAAACAUGUGCUUUUGUACGCCGUUUUAGAGUUGCCUCAGGCGGCACCCAGUUAACGUUGGUCUGUCAUUGUUAUCACUCCGGUAAGCGGUGGUUCUUUGUGUAUCAAUUUAAGCCAUGAUUUAAAUGAAAUUUUUUCACAAUAUGCCCAUCUUUACAACGGUGUAGGUGGCUGCAAGUUAGUCAUUUCAGUUUUCCUGCUUCGUCUUCGAGUUGCCUGAGAAUGGUCAGACGAGCGCGAGGUUUUUUUUUUCUUGACAGUACAAUCGCUCUGGCAGCUGCUUAGGUGGCUCCAAACUGGUCAGUUCAACCUCUCCUGCUUCGUCUUCGAGAAGUCUUUAAGUCAUUCGGUGGCUUUUUUUUCCCGACAGUAUCAUGACUUAGGGUGAUGCAGUGCAAGAUAUCCAGAUUUGAACACCCUGCCCAGGAGGUCCUUUUGAAACAUGACCAAUUGUGCCACUACCAGGGAAGAUACUGCCAUCUACCCUGCCUCUACACAGAUUGCAUCUGCUCCUUUAAAACCACUGGUUGAAGUCUCACCUUUUAAGAUCACACAAGUGCUUCUCUUCACGUGAGAGUCACUUAACAUUGAAUGGUGAAU